RNAcentral lists this unclassified non-coding RNA (601 nucleotides) under Hevea brasiliensis (rubber tree). Lineage: Eukaryota; Viridiplantae; Streptophyta; Magnoliopsida; Malpighiales; Euphorbiaceae. The record is from RNAcentral.
UUCAAUAUGUCCUUUUAUAUGACCUACUUGGCAAGAUGGCCUGAUUACUUCCAUGUCGCGGAGGCCCCUGGGAGCCGCAUAAUGGGUUACAUCAUGGGAAAAGUUGAGGGGCAAGGCGAGUCAUGGCACGGUCAUGUAACUGCUGUAACUGUUGCUCCAGAAUAUCGCAGGCAACAAUUAGCUAAGAAGCUUAUGAACCUGCUUGAGGAUAUUAGCGACAAAGUUGACAAAGCUUAUUUCGUUGAUCUCUUUGUGAGGGCAUCAAACACCCCUGCUAUCAAGAUGUAUGAAAAGCUUGGCUAUGUUAUUUAUCGGCGCGUGCUGUGUUAUUAUUCGGGGGAGGAAGAUGGAUUAGAUAUGAGGAAAGCAUUAUCGCGGGAUGUCGAAAAGAAGUCCAUCAUCCCGCUAAAAAGGCCAGUGACUCCCGACGAACUAGAAUAUGAUUAACUCAAGAGAAACGGUGUUUGAUCAUUGAUGGAGAAGAAACAUCAUGUACUCAUGAGCUGAGGAUAGCAAGGUUAGCUAUCGUCAUCUUGAAAAGUGUUGUACGUGUAUCCUAAAUAUGUUUGUUUAACUUGUAUUAUCCUAAUGAAAAAUCAAG